CACUAAACAUAGAAAAUGAAAGGGGGAGUUUCAGGUUAAAGUUUUUGGUCAAGGUAGUUUUUGAUGAAGCUGAAUUCCAAUCAACUUGAAACUUAGUACACUUGUUGGUUAUGAUAUGAUCUUUCUAAUUUUAAAGCCAAAUUAGACUUAUGACCCCAAUUUCACGGUUCACUAAACAUAGAAAAUGAAAGUGGGAGUUUAAGGUUAAAGUUUUGGUCAAGGUAGUUUUUGAUGAAAUUGAAGUCCAAUCAACUUGAAACUUAGUACAUAUGUUCCCUAUAGUAUAAUCUUUCUAAUUUUAAUGCCAAAUUAGAUUAUUACCCAAUUUUUACAGUCCAUGGAACAUGGAAAAGGAUAGUGCAAGUGGGGCAUACGUGUACUUUGGACACAUUCUUGUUUAUGUAUUUACAUUUUCGGUGUGAGGGUACACGGGACAUACAGUCAAUGUUUAGUUAUUUAUUUUUUGGAAAUGCAAAAGUUUUCUUUGCCUUUCCACGUGUUCAAUGUGUUCCCUCGCCCAUAGUGUUACCAAUUUUCAUCGUUCCGUCCGUUUGGCAGUCGGAAUCCAGCAAUUG
Molecule: long non-coding RNA, 575 nt
Filed under: Mytilus galloprovincialis (Mediterranean mussel)
Lineage: Eukaryota; Metazoa; Mollusca; Bivalvia; Mytilida; Mytilidae
Source: RNAcentral